RNAcentral lists this ribosomal RNA (816 nucleotides) under uncultured bacterium. Its description in RNAcentral is "bacterial SSU rRNA". It matches the Rfam family "Bacterial small subunit ribosomal RNA", at positions 1 to 821 of the family's 1533-position model. The record is from RNAcentral.
GAAUUCGCCCUUAGAGUUUGAUCCUGGCUCAGGACGAACGCUGGCGGCGUGCCUAACACAUGCAAGUCGAACGAAGCUUUGAGGAGCUUGCUUUUUAAAGCUUAGUGGCGGACGGGUGAGUAACGCGUGAGCAACCUGCCUCUCAGAGGGGGAUAACGUUUUGAAAAGAACGCUUAUACCGCAUAACAUAUCGGAAACCGCAUGAUUCUGAUAUCAAAGGAGCAAUCCGCUGAGAGAUGGGCUCGCGUCCGAUUAGUUAGUUGGUGAGGUAACGGCUCACCAAGACUACGAUCGGUAGCCGGACUGAGAGGUUGAUCGGCCACAUUGGGACUGAGACACGGCCCAGACUCCUACGGGAGGCAGCAGUGGGGAAAUAUUGCACAAUGGGGGAAACCCUGAUGCAGCGACGCCGCGUGGAGGAAGAAGGUCUUCGGAUUGUAAACUCCUGUUGUUGAGGAAGAUAAUGACGGUACUCAACAAGGAAGUGACGGCUAACUACGUGCCAGCAGCCGCGGCAAAACGUAGGUCACAAGCGUUGUCCGGAAUUACUGGGUGUAAAGGGAGCGCAGGCGGGAAGACAAGUUGGAAGUGAAAUCCAUGGGCUCAACCCAUGAACUGCUUUCAAAACUGUUUUUCUUGAGUAGUGCAGAGGUAGGCGGAAUUCCCGGUGUAGCGGUGGAAUGCGUAGAUAUCGGGAGGAACACCAGUGGCGAAGGCGGCCUACUGGGCACCAACUGACGCUGAGGCUCGAAAGUGUGGGUAGCAAACAGGAUUAGAUACCCUGGUAGUCCACACUGUAAACGAUGAUUACUAGGU